RNAcentral lists this ribosomal RNA (884 nucleotides) under uncultured bacterium. RNAcentral's name for it is "bacterial SSU rRNA". It matches the Rfam family "Bacterial small subunit ribosomal RNA", at positions 35 to 917 of the family's 1533-position model. The record is from RNAcentral.
GCAUGGGGCAGUCUACCAUGCAGUCGAGCGGAUGAAGGGAGCUUGCUCCCUGAUUUAGCGGCGGACGGGUGAGUAAUGCCUAGGAAUCUGCCUGGUAGUGGGGGAUAACGUUCCGAAAGGAACGCUAAUACCGCAUACGUCCUACGGGAGAAAGCAGGGGACCUUCGGGCCUUGCGCUAUCGGAUGAGCCUAGGUCGGAUUAGCUAGUUGGUGAGGUAAUGGCUCACCAAGGCGACGAUCCGUAACUGGUCUGAGAGGAUGAUCAGUCACACUGGAACUGAGACACGGUCCAGACUCCUACGGGAGGCAGCAGUGGGGAAUAUUGGACAAUGGGCGAAAGCCUGAUCCAGCCAUGCCGCGUGUGUGAAGAAGGUCUUCGGAUUGUAAAGCACUUUAAGUUGGGAGGAAGGGCAGUAAGCUAAUACCUUGCUGUUUUGACGUUACCGACAGAAUAAGCACCGGCUAACUUCGUGCCAGCAGCCGCGGUAAUACGAAGGGUGCAAGCGUUAAUCGGAAUUACUGGGCGUAAAGCGCGCGUAGGUGGUUCGUUAAGUUGGAUGUGAAAGCCCCGGGCUCAACCUGGGAACUGCAUCCAAAACUGGCGAGCUAGAGUACGGUAGAGGGUGGGUGGAAUUUCCUGUGUAGCGGUGAAAUGCGUAGAUAUAGGAAGGAACACCAGUGGCGAAGGCGACCACCUGGACUGAUACUGACACUGAGGUGCGAAAGCGUGGGGAGCAAACAGGAUUAGAUACCCUGGUAGUCCACGCCGUAAACGAUGUCGACUAGCCGUUGGGAUCCUUGAGAUCUUAGUGGCGCAGCUAACGCAUUAAGUCGACCGCCUGGGGAGUACGGCCGCAAGGUUAAAACUCAAAGGAAUUGACGGA